ACGAAUCGAGUUAUUCGAAUCAACUCGAUUUUUUUUCGAAUUUCGAGUUCGAAUCGAGUUGAGUUUUUGAAUUCGAAUAACUCAAAUAAUUCGAAUAAUUCGAAUAUCAAACUAAAAUAUUUUACAUUUUUACCCCAAACUCCCAAACCUUUUUACUUUUCCCUCAAAAUUUUUACUCCCUUCCACUUCCCCCCAAAACUUUUACUCCCCUCCCCUCCCAACCCCCCAAUCUACCCAAAAUCCAUUUCCCACCAAAAUUUUACUUUCCCAUUUACUUUUUCUCAAAAUUUUACUCCCAAAAACCCUCAAAACCUUUUAUUUUCCCCCAAAAUUUUUACUCCCUCCUACUUUUCCCCUAAAACUUUUAUUCCCUUCCCAUCUCACCUCCCAUCUAUCCCAAACCCCC
RNAcentral lists this long non-coding RNA (406 nucleotides) under Gossypium raimondii (Peruvian cotton). Its description in RNAcentral is "long non-coding RNA (GRAI_LNC007509)". Lineage: Eukaryota; Viridiplantae; Streptophyta; Magnoliopsida; Malvales; Malvaceae. The record is from RNAcentral.